GACGAACGCUGGCGGCGUGCUUAACACAUGCAAGUCGAACGGAAAGGCCCUGCUUUUGUCGGGUUCUCGAGUGGCGUCCGGGUGAGUAACACGUGAGUAACCUGCCCUUGACUUUGGGAUAACUUCAGGAAACUGGGGCUAAUACCGGAUAGUAGCUCUUGCUGCAUGGUGGGGGUUGGAAAGUUUCGGCGGUUGGGUAUGGUCUCGCGGUUUAUCAGCUUGUUGGUGAGGUAGGGGUUUCCGAAGGCUUUGACGGGUAGCCGGCCUGGGAGGGUGGCCGGGGACCUUGCGCCUACGGUAGGCUCCAGUAUGGAACGUUCGGCAGCGGUCGGGAAUCUUGUGCAGUGGGCGGACGUCUGUGAUAGAGGCGCUCGGUGCGGAAUGCACGCUUUUGGGUUGUGAACCGCUUUAGCCUGUGACGAAGCGUGAGUGACGGUAAUGGGUCAAGAAGCACCGGCUAACUACGUG
Molecule: ribosomal RNA, 468 nt
Filed under: uncultured bacterium
Lineage: Bacteria
Description: partial 16S ribosomal RNA
Rfam family: Bacterial small subunit ribosomal RNA
Source: RNAcentral